GGGGGGAGCAGCUGACUGUGCACAUUCUGGGCCCUCCAUGCAGAGCUAGAGCCAGGCAGAGCCAGAUUUGGAAAGCUCCCCUCUCCAAAACAGCUGGGAAAAAAUCGCCCUACAUGGGCAGGAGAGGAGGAGGAGCCAAAUCCUGGAGAAGGAGUCCUGGAGUCCUGGAGAAGUGCCUUAACUCUGGGAAUACUUUAAUGCUCUGUAAGGGAGGCAGAUGCAGACAGAAUUAAAAGACAUUGGAUUUCAUACACUCUCAAAGCCCAAUGCAACUCACCUAGAAUUUUUACAGUAAUGGGUAAUUAACCCAGAGGGUUCUGGCAUCAGGCAACUUGCUGUGUUUAAUGAAAUUCUAAUCACAUUCACACCGAUUGGCUCUAUAGAACAGCACUGACAUAGUCCUCCUCAGAGCCCUCGGGCCAAGUUGCCUAGAUUUCAGGUGAUUAGAGAGAAACUGGUCCUUCGUGGCACUAAUGCCCGCUACCCUCAACAAAGUUGACUCUGCUCCCAAUGUUUGGGGACGAUUGUUGUAACAUAAUUUUGUAUUACUGUUAUUUUGUCCUCUUGUCCCUACUUUUUUGUGAGAAUGUACUGCCAUCUACUGGUACAAUAAGGUCAGUGAAUAGAGAGAGAGAGUCCCAUUUCCCCUCCCGUCAAUUCAAUUAAUGAAUUCUAAAGUGGCCCUUAUUUUCGAUGUAAAAAAAAUAUAUCUAUAUUCUUUAGGAGGUCUGUUAAAAGAUUGACGUAGUUGGCAAUGAAGACACUCAACAAGGACAGGGAGUGACGCUGUACGGAGAUUGAGA
Oncorhynchus kisutch (coho salmon) is the source of this 803-nucleotide long non-coding RNA. RefSeq lists it as uncharacterized. The transcript has 2 exons. Lineage: Eukaryota; Metazoa; Chordata; Actinopteri; Salmoniformes; Salmonidae. The record is from RefSeq and is a predicted model, not a curated record.